GUGCUUAACACAUGCAAGUCGAACGGUGACGAUGGAGCUUGCUCUGUCUGAUCAGUGGCGAACGGGUGAGUAACACGUGAGUAACCUGCCCCCGACUCUGGAAUAACCGUGGGAAACGACGGCUAAUACCGGAUAUGAGACGCACAGGCAUCUGUGGGUCUGGAAAGAUUUAUCGGUCAGGGAUGGACUCGCGGCCUAUCAGCUUGUUGGUGGGGUAAUGGCCUACCAAGGCGACGACGGGUAGCCGGCCUGAGAGGGCGACCGGCCACACUGGGACUGAGAUACGGCCCAGACUCCUACGGGAGGCAGCAGUGGGGAAUAUUGCACAAUGGGCGCAAGCCUGAUGCAGCGACGCCGCGUGAGGGAUGAAGGCCUUCGGGUUGUAAACCUCUUUCAGCAGGGAAGAAGCGAAAGUGACGGUACCUGCAGAAGAAGCGCCGGCUAACUACGUGCCAGCAGCCGCGGUAAUACGUAGGGCGCAAGCGUUGUCCGGAAUUAUUGGGCGUAAAGAGCUCGUAGGCGGUUUGUCGCGUCUGCUGUGAAAACCUGAGGCUCAACCUCGGGCUUGCAGUGGGUACGGGCAGACUAGAGUGCGGUAGGGGUGACUGGAAUUCCUGGUGUAGCGGUGGAAUGCGCAUAUAUCAGGAGGAACACCGAUGGCGAAGGCAAGUUCACUGGGCCCAAC
This 685-nucleotide ribosomal RNA is filed under the name Cellulomonas sp. KAR64. RNAcentral describes it as "bacterial SSU rRNA". It matches the Rfam family "Bacterial small subunit ribosomal RNA", at positions 44 to 740 of the family's 1533-position model. The record is from RNAcentral. Lineage: Bacteria; Bacillati; Actinomycetota; Actinomycetes; Micrococcales; Cellulomonadaceae.